RNAcentral lists this ribosomal RNA (503 nucleotides) under uncultured bacterium. RNAcentral describes it as "partial 16S ribosomal RNA". It matches the Rfam family "Bacterial small subunit ribosomal RNA", at positions 30 to 523 of the family's 1533-position model. The record is from RNAcentral.
AUUGAACGCUGGCGGCAUGCUUUACACAUGCAAGUCGAACGGCAGCAUGGGUGCUUGCACCUGAUGGCGAGUGGCGAACGGGUGAGUAAUGUAUCGGAACAUGUCCGGAAGUGGGGGAUAACGUAGCGAAAGUUACGCUAAUACCGCAUAUGCCCUGAGGGGGGAAAGGUGGGGAUCGCAAGACCUAUCGCUUUCGGAGUGGCCGAUAUCAGAUUAGCUUGUUGGUGAGGUAAAGGCUCACCAAGGCGACGAUCUGUAGCUGGUCUGAGAGGACGACCAGCCACACUGGGACUGAGACACGGCCCAGACUCCUACGGGAGGCAGCAGUGGGGAAUUUUGGACAAUGGGGGCAACCCUGAUCCAGCCAUGCCGCGUGAGUGAAGAAGGCCUUCGGGUUGUAAAGCUCUUUCAGAUGGAAAGAAAUCGCUAUUCCUAAUACGAGUGGUGGAUGACGGUACCGUCAGAAGAAGCACCGGCUAACUACGUGCCAGCCGCCGCGGUAA